UACGUAGGGUGCAAGCGUUAAUCGGAAUUACUGGGCGUAAAGCGUGCGCAGGCGGUUUUGUAAGUCUGAUGUGAAAUCCCCGGGCUCAACCUGGGAAUUGCAUUGGAGACUGCUAGGCUAGAAUCUGGCAGAGGGGGGUAGAAUUCCACGUGUAGCAGUGAAAUGCGUAGAGAUGUGGAGGAACACCGAUGGCGAAGGCAGCCCCCUGGGUCAAGAUUGACGCUCAUGCACGAAAGCGUGGGGAGCAAACAGG
RNAcentral lists this ribosomal RNA (253 nucleotides) under uncultured bacterium. RNAcentral describes it as "partial 16S ribosomal RNA". It matches the Rfam family "Bacterial small subunit ribosomal RNA", at positions 524 to 776 of the family's 1533-position model. The record is from RNAcentral.